This 328-nucleotide ribosomal RNA is filed under the name uncultured eukaryote. RNAcentral's name for it is "partial 18S ribosomal RNA". It matches the Rfam family "Eukaryotic small subunit ribosomal RNA", at positions 1470 to 1796 of the family's 1831-position model. The record is from RNAcentral.
CCCUUAGAUGUCCUGGGCCGCACGCGCGUUACACUGAUGCAUUCAACGAGCUUAUAACCUUGGCCGAGAGGCCUGGGCAAUCUUGUUAACGUGCAUCGUGAUAGGGAUAGAUUAUUGAAAUUAUUAAUCUUGAACGAGGAAUUCCUAGUAAACGCAGAUCAUCAAUCUGCAUUGAUUACGUCCCUGCCCUUUGUACACACCGCCCGUCGCACCUACCGAUUGGAUGGUCCGGUGAAGCCUCGGGAUUGUGGUUCUUGCCGCUUUAUUGUGGCGUGACCGCGAGAACUUGUCUAAACCUUAUCAUCUAGAGGAAGUAAAAGUCGUAACA